UACGUAUGGGGCAAGCGUUAUCCGGAUUUACUGGGUGUAAAGGGAGCGCAGGCGGCCUGGCAAGCCUGAUGUGAAAUACCGGGGCCCAACCCCGGGGCUGCAUUGGGAACUGCCAGGCUGGAGUGCCGGAGAGGCAGGCGGAAUUCCUAGUGUAGCGGUGAAAUGCGUAGAUAUUAGGAGGAACACCAGUGGCGAAGGCGGCCUGCUGGACGACAACUGACGGUGAGGCGCGAAAGCGUGGGGAGCAAACAGG
Molecule: ribosomal RNA, 253 nt
Filed under: uncultured bacterium
Lineage: Bacteria
Description: partial 16S ribosomal RNA
Rfam family: Bacterial small subunit ribosomal RNA
Source: RNAcentral